UCCCUAACCUGCGUCCCCAGGCUCGGUACCCUGGGUCCCUCCUUCGGCAGGACCUACUCCGCCGCAGCAGCGCCCUGAUGACUGCCACAUUUCAGCACACCCCACCCCACCCUAACCCCCCCGACCCUGGGCCACCAGCCUGGCUGGGCCCUGUCUCCCCAAAAGGCGCAAACCUACCCACUCCCAGCUCGGAAAGCUGUGGCCCCCGCCGCCACGACGCCCCCGGUUCGGCUGGCUCUCCACUCCACUCCGCUCCCCACGCGCAGACGCCCCACCUCCUCCCACUCUCCGGCCUUGACUCCGCCCCAGCACCCCCUUUCCCCGGCUCGCUCCAUCUGGCUUUCUGCCGCCUCCCGCUCAGCCUGCCGGUGUCCAGAAGUCUACAACUCCCAGGACCCCCUCGCCCAAGCACCUCCUGAAGUUGGAGCAGGAAGGGCUAAGGAAGGAAUUCUGCCGCUUGCCUCAGACAAGGGAGAGCUCCUGCCUCAGCUUUUGGAGCCUGGAAGGCCUGGGCUGUCAGACACGAUCCCAGUGGUGAGGAUCAUUCUGGAGUCACAGCCUUCCCCAAGCUAACCAGUAGAGGCUAAGAGUUCACCUGUCUAGGGGCUGGAGACACGGCUCAGCAGUGAAGAGCACUGACUGCUCUUCCAGAGGACCCCGGGUUCAAUUCCCAGCACCCACAGAGCAGGUCACAACUGUCUACAACUCCAAGAUCUGACACCCUCACACAGACAUGCAUGCAGGCAAAACACCAAUGCACACUAAAUAAAAAUAAAUGAAUUAUUUAAAAAAAAAAAAAAA
Peromyscus californicus insignis is the source of this 801-nucleotide long non-coding RNA. RefSeq lists it as uncharacterized. The transcript is spliced from 2 exons. NCBI's taxonomy places the organism in Eukaryota, Metazoa, Chordata, Mammalia, Rodentia, Cricetidae. The record is from RefSeq and is a predicted model, not a curated record.